This is a long non-coding RNA of Zonotrichia leucophrys gambelii, 301 nucleotides long. RefSeq lists it as uncharacterized. The transcript is spliced from 4 exons. The record is from RefSeq and is a predicted model, not a curated record. NCBI's taxonomy places the organism in Eukaryota, Metazoa, Chordata, Aves, Passeriformes, Passerellidae.
AGGUACUCCUGGAAGGAACCCAAGAUGAUCUCCAGGAGCUCUCUCUGCAGUUGGAUUUAGACAAUGACGCGGUCCUGGAGACGCCUCUGCCCCCUGUGGCUGAAGAGCUGCGGGCUCUCCUGCGGCAGAAGCGCCUGGCUGCCGCUCUGGAUGCCUAGGGUGUGAAGGACCAGUGUACUUUUUCCUCUCCAGUGGCAUGAGGAGAUGAUCAUCCCUGGAGAAACCCCCUGAACCCUUUGAGCCCUGGGCCAUUUCCCCUGAAUAAUCAUUCAUCAAGAAUCAGUAAACCCUUUGAGCAAAG